RNAcentral lists this ribosomal RNA (1791 nucleotides) under Triticum aestivum (bread wheat). RNAcentral describes it as "partial small subunit ribosomal RNA". Lineage: Eukaryota; Viridiplantae; Streptophyta; Magnoliopsida; Poales; Poaceae. The record is from RNAcentral.
AUGGAUGCGAGGAACCGGCCGCCAUGGAGAGGAGGACCCAGCCGCGGCCGGGAAGAGGAGGAACGGGCGGCCAGGCAUGGGACGAACUGGCGCCGGCCGACUGGGAAGGGAGGGCCGCUGCAGCUCAGAUCCAUGGAGUGGGGGAGGAGGGGAGAGGAGGGGGAGGCAACCGCCUUAAUCAAACUCAGAAAACUACUUGAGAAUGGAAGGUUCUUCAUUGUUAUUGAUGACAUAUGGGAUUCAAAAAAAUGUGGAGGUGUGCCAUUAGCUAUAAUUACAAUAGCUAGUUUGUUGGCUGGUAAACCUAUGAAGAACUGGUCUAAAGUAUUCAAAUCUAUUGGUUUUGGAUCUGGAGAUAAUAAUACAGAUGUAGAGAACACGAGGAAGAUAUUGUCAUUUAGUUAUUAUGAUCUCCCUUGUUAUCUAAGGCCUUGUCUCCUACAUCUGAGCAUAUACCCAGAAGACUAUUUGAUCAUGAAAGACAAAUUGAUAUGGCAGUGGGUAGCCGAAGGUUUCGUCAAUGAGGAACCAGGGCCGGCAGAGUACCAAUGCUACACAAUAGUUUCUUGUCGUAUUCAUGAUAUGGUGCUGGAUAUGAUUUGUUCAUUAUCAAAGGAGCAAAAUUUUGUUGCCAUAUUGGAUAGUAAUGAAGAGCACACACCUUCACAAUGCAAUGCCCGCAGGUUAGCUGUCCAAAAGAGAGUUGUGCCUCUCGCUAACAUGAGCAUGCCAAAACUGAGGUCGUGUGAUCCCAGUGCGAUGCCAUCACUUUCAAACUUCCAGGUGUUACGUGUUCUAGCCAUGGAAAAGUGUAGUUUUGAGAGAGACCGUCCUUACCAUCUUGAGCAUCUUGGGAGGUUAUCUCAGUUGAGAUACCUGAGUCUAGAGAGCGCAUGUAUUAGAAAGCUCCCAGAAGAAAUAGGAGAUCUGAAGUUUCUGCAGACACUGGAUUUGAGGGACACUUAUAUAAAAGAGUUACCACAGAGUAUUGGUUUGCUAAGGAAACUCAAGUGUCUGCGUGCUGACACGGAUGGUGUUGGUAUAACAGUGCCGAAUUGGAUAGGGAACCUGACAUCCUUGGAAGUGCGAGCCUUGAAGGAUGCCAGCGCUGAUUUUGACUUUAUUGGUAGCCUGGAGAACCUCCCUUCGCUUCAGAGAGUGCAUGCUAGCAUCCGCCGCGAUAAUGCAUAUGUUUGUGAUAUUGACAAGGUGAGCGCAGCGGUGAGGCAAGCAAUCGGGACCCAUCCAAACCGUCCCACCCUUAAUCUCCGAGCAGUGUUUGGUCCACGUCUGACUCUGAAACAUAUGGAACAAGAGGUACUGCCAGCUUCCUUUUCGGAUCAUACUACCGCUGUUCAUACCUCUGCUCAGGUAAUAGACGAUGACAAAGAGGAUGAAGAAAAAUUGGACUCCGAGCAGAAAGAACAAGAGCCCCACUCCCAUGAUGAUGACAACCAUCCCGGCCCCCACCUAACAGAGAGCAACGUUGACGCUGCUGGUACAUCUCCUCCGGUACCUGAGCGGCGACGGACGUGGAGGCGGUGGGCGUGCUUCGCUUGCCUUGACUCGGGCAGCAGCAGUUCCGCCGCUGCACCUGCCACAGCAGGUUCAGACCAGUGUGGAGCUUCAGGACAUGGGAUUGAUCAGGCAGCAAAGGAUGAUAGGUGGACCCUCGGGCACUCGGCUCGGAGCGGCGAGACGAAGUACGAUGAGGGGCGGCGCCGCCGGAGAGGGACGACCGCCGCUCGCCGCGUGGGUGUUGUUUGCCGUCUGAUGCCAUCUGCGAUCUGA